RNAcentral lists this ribosomal RNA (465 nucleotides) under uncultured bacterium. RNAcentral describes it as "partial 16S ribosomal RNA". It matches the Rfam family "Bacterial small subunit ribosomal RNA", at positions 28 to 507 of the family's 1533-position model. The record is from RNAcentral.
GACGAACGCUGGCGGCGUGCUUAACACAUGCAAGUCGAACGGAAAGGCCCCUUUGGGGGUACUCGAGUGGCGAACGGGUGAGUAACACGUGAGUAACCUGCCCUUGACUUCGGGAUAACUUCAGGAAACUGGGGCUAAUACCGGAUAGGAAUCCUUGCUGCAUGGUGGGGGUUGGAAAGCUUCGGCGGUUUUGGAUGGACUCGCGGCUUAUCAGCUUGUUGGUGGGGUAGUGGCUUACCAAGGCUUUGACGGGUAGCCGGCCUGAGAGGGCGACCGGCCACAUUGGGACUGAGAUACGGCCCAGACGCCUACGGGAGGAAGCAGUGGGGAAUAUUGCACAAUGGGCGGAAGCCUGAUGCAGCAACGCCGCGUGCGGGAUGACGGCCUUCGGGUUGUAAACCGCUUUCAGCAGGGGCGAAGCUUGUGGUGACGGUACCUGCAGAAGAAGCACCGGCUAACUACGUG